CCUACGGGCGACAGCAGUGAGGAAUAUUGGUCAAUGGACGCAACUCUGAACCAGCCAUGCCGCGUGCAGGAAGACGGCUCUAUGAGUUGUAAACUGCUUUUGUGCGGGGAUAAACGCAGAUACGCGUGGCUGACUGAAAGUAUCGUACGAAUAAGGAUCGGCUAACUCCGUGCCAGCAGCCGCGGUAAUACGGAGGAUUCAAGCGUUAUCCGGAUUUAUUGGGUUUAAAGGGUGCGUAGGCGGUCGGUUAAGUUAGAGGUGAAAUCCCGAGGCUCAACUUCGGAAUUGCCUCGGAAACUGUGCGGCUAGAGAGUAGUUGAGGUAGGCGGAAUGUAUGGUGUAGCGGUGAAAUGCUUAGAGAUCAUACAGAACACCGAUUGCGAAGGCAGCUUACCAUG
RNAcentral lists this ribosomal RNA (398 nucleotides) under uncultured bacterium. RNAcentral describes it as "partial 16S ribosomal RNA". It matches the Rfam family "Bacterial small subunit ribosomal RNA", at positions 338 to 733 of the family's 1533-position model. The record is from RNAcentral.